GGGAGUCUGGCCGAGUGGUUAAGGCGUUGUGUUUAGGAAGUCGUCAUCCACCGUGUUGACACGCUUAAUUCUUGAACCGCAAUGGGCAUCGCCCGCGUAGGUUCGAUCCCUACGGCUCCCA
This is a transfer RNA of Purpureocillium lilacinum, 121 nucleotides long. It matches the Rfam family "tRNA". From Rfam's summary of the family: Transfer RNA (tRNA) molecules are approximately 80 nucleotides in length. Their secondary structure includes four short double-helical elements and three loops (D, anti-codon, and T loops). Further hydrogen bonds mediate the characteristic L-shaped molecular structure. tRNAs have two regions of fundamental functional importance: the anti-codon, which is responsible for specific mRNA codon recognition, and the 3' end, to which the tRNAs corresponding amino acid is attached (by aminoacyl-tRNA synthetases). tRNAs cope with the degeneracy of the genetic code in two manners: having more than one tRNA (with a specific anti-codon) for a particular amino acid; and 'wobble' base-pairing, i.e. permitting non-standard base-pairing at the 3rd anti-codon position. Lineage: Eukaryota; Fungi; Ascomycota; Sordariomycetes; Hypocreales; Ophiocordycipitaceae. The record is from Rfam.